CCUCAUAGUAAUCUUUGGCUAAACAAGUCAGUCUGACAACUCAGGAAGACUGAGAUUUUUACAGCCUGCUUGCACACAUUCACACAAAGUGGACAGCAAUGUUCGUUGUAGUAUGGGACCAGUGGGAUGUCAUCCAAAUUGAUCCCCAUGACAAAACUUCACCAUGACUCCUCUGGACAUCUACAGUGACUACUGGGGUGUUGUCCCCCCAUCAACAUUUGAACUAAUGAUGACAAAUCCAACAUUGGAGAAGAAGACUCUGCUGCUGGUGGUCAGGAGUGAUGGAGUCAGCACUGAAGGAGAACCCAUAUGGAGCAGACCAGGAGCCAGCAAUGGCAGAAGGCCUGCAAAAAGCAGAAACUUAGAUGAGAUCGUGUGAAAUUCAGCUGCAGAGCUUCAGGCCCCUGAAAAAGCAAGGUGGGUCUGCUAUAACAUGGUUUGCACCUGUCCGAUGAGAAAGAGUAUAUUUCUGACCUCUCCAUCACAGUCUCUUCUUGGUACAUUUCAGAGAGAAACAGUGCUGCUAGUAAUGCCACACCAUAACCUUGGUGAAGGGAGGCUAUGCUCUACCUGAAAUAGGCAAGUAUGGGUAGCAAAAGGCAAAAGGCUUUGAAGUGGAGAAAGCAGAACACACCAAGUUGCAAUGCUAUGCAAGCCCUGAUCCCAGCCACUGUCUGUGCCAAAGAGCCUGGCACUCAGUAGCCCAGUCAUGAAAACACUAGGCUCUGCCAUAGAGCAAGUGGGAGCAGACAAGCAAGCAGGGGAGAACAAAAAGAUGAGCCUGGACUUGCAUGCAUGACUGGAUUAUGAACAAAAAAAAGAAAUAAGAAUUUCAGGAGAGAACCUCCUUCUCAGUUCAAAUGUUCUUUGCCAUGCCACCCCCCAGAAACCAAAGUUUCUUCUUUGGUUUCUAUUUCUGCCGCCUCUUUAACAGACUUUCCUCCUUUCAUGAAAGCAAUACAAGACACUUCAUUCAGACCCCAGCAGCUCCAUCCACCUCCUUGAGAUAGUCAACAACUCUUCAUUCCACACUGUCCAUCACGAAAUUUCACAGGAUGAAAUAAGCUUUGAGCACUUGGCUUCUUGGGGCUGGAACCAAACCCACACCCAAAGGCAGCCUUAGGGAUACCUUUGUAUACUGAACACAAUCAGCACCAUCCUUUGGCAGUGUAACCAGAUAGAACAGGACCCACAGUAAGGUCUCAUUCCCUAUGCAAUGGGUUCAUGCACUACAACUGACCCCUGUCCUGUGGUAAUUCCCAGACUGGGCCCACAAGGUUCCUGAAACAUGAAAAAUGCUCGGAGAUACAUGUGCCAGGAGCUAGUCUAGCCAAUUCACAGUGCAGACUCUUCAGUCCUGUGCCCAGGUUUGUCCAGUGUUUAAUUUACCAGCUAGCUUCAUUGCCACUGUAUGUGUAUUUUUUUACCAGCCUGUUUUCCAAAGCAGUGCCUCCAGAUUACUGAAUUGGUUUCAUGUUGAUUCCCUCCAAACAUGUUUUCAUAUGCUGGGCAGCCUUAGCUACUGACAAAGCAGUAAAUGUCUCAGCAACAGAGAGUUCUGUGAAAAAACACAGCCAGGUGGAGGAGAUCAAACCAAACUGACAUACUGUUACAGAAAAGACUUACACUUGAGUUUGGUCAAACUUUUAGACCACAGAGAAUUCACGUUGACUAAAAUCAUUAUAAAUGCCUCAAUAGCAGGAAAGCUUUAAUUCAGGCCUAACUAAUGUUUCUGUGGUUGGGAAAUCAUUCUAGAUAACCUACAUAACACUACCUGUUAUAGGUUUGGCAAAAAUAUUUCACUGUUCAUGGGGACUUUUUAUUUCCCUUUCUUCCUCUCCUUACUCUUUCAUAUGCUUUUAUUAAAAAUAUUCUUUAAAUUUUAAAAACAUCUUUUUUCCAACCAUGUCUUCUAAUACGGGCAAAGAUGUAUCCUCAGCACAACUUCUGGCUCACCAGAGACCAGACCCUGUUAUACUUCUUGUCAAAACAGGACCUGAGGAAUACCAGUAUGGAUGUUAACAAGUAAUAGUAUGUGAAAAAAGGCCUGAUAUGUCACAGAACGACAUAAAAGAAAACACCUGCCUAUUCAAGCAGUACAGAAACAGACACACAACAGCUAAACAAUGGUCAGAAAUCCUCUGGUCUGCAUCCUGAUGAAGUAGGAGGGUUAUUGCCCAGAGGUCUGCAGAAGAGAAGAUGAAUUGUGUAAUUUUAAAAUAACUGGAAAUAAAACAUGAAGAGGAAUAUCA
Molecule: long non-coding RNA, 2252 nt
Filed under: Coturnix japonica (Japanese quail)
Lineage: Eukaryota; Metazoa; Chordata; Aves; Galliformes; Phasianidae
Description: lncRNA (ENSCJPG00005008040.1)
Source: RNAcentral